AGCGCGUCGUGCGGUCCGGCGCCGCCGCCGCGUUGCUCUCGGCAACGCGGGACGCGGGCCUGAUCGUCGUCGGGCGGCAUGCUUC
This 85-nucleotide transfer RNA is filed under the name Embleya hyalina. Its description in RNAcentral is "tRNA-Glu". The record is from RNAcentral. Lineage: Bacteria; Bacillati; Actinomycetota; Actinomycetes; Kitasatosporales; Streptomycetaceae.